Carassius auratus (goldfish) is the source of this 588-nucleotide long non-coding RNA. RefSeq lists it as uncharacterized. The transcript is spliced from 3 exons. NCBI's taxonomy places the organism in Eukaryota, Metazoa, Chordata, Actinopteri, Cypriniformes, Cyprinidae. The record is from RefSeq and is a predicted model, not a curated record.
AGAAAAAAAAAGAUGCUUUUUUAUGUGCGCAAACAACAUUGGAUUGUAUCAUUAUAAAAAUCAUUGAUAUAAACAGUAUGAUGUAUAAGGAAAGAGGAUGUCCUGAUCCUGGCUUUUCCCGAUUGGGAAUAUCUUGAGUGGUACUGGGAAUCCGGAGCCCUGCUUUGAUGGAAAAUCCCAGUGAAGGGAAAGUACAACUUUAUUUUACCCCAAUGGCUUGCCUUGAAAAAAUACAUAGCAACUUUCCUUAGAUGGAGUGUUACUGGAUGGCGCCAGUCCAAGAUAAUGUCACAAGUUUACAGGUCUGUCCAAAAUGAUAAAAUUAGUUUAACAAAACAAAUACUAAAAACCAGGUUACAAAAAUUAAUUAAUAUUAGAUGUGUAGCAACUCAGUCAGGAGUGGGAAAAGGCCCCAGCUUUACAAGACGAUCUAACCACAAUGAUGAAGAUCAAGUUAAAAAUACACAGACACACGUCUUGCAGACAGGUGUUAUAGUCUCAGCAUGUACUAUGCAAACUCAGUGGUCAGAGCUGAGAAUCUCUUACCAUGUUUCACACGCAAGCAAAAUAUACCAACUGAUCUACACA